This 55-nucleotide transfer RNA is filed under the name Anisakis simplex (herring worm). RNAcentral describes it as "tRNA-Gln". Lineage: Eukaryota; Metazoa; Nematoda; Chromadorea; Rhabditida; Anisakidae. The record is from RNAcentral.
UAUGCUCUAGUUUAGGAAGAAUUUUUGUUUUUGGUGCAAAGGGGUGUGGGCGUAA